AGUAACACGUAUCCAACCUGCCGAUAACUCGGGGAUAGCCUUUCGAAAGAAAGAUUAAUACCCGAUGGCAUAAUAGAACCGCAUGGUUUGAUUAUUAAAGAAUUUCGGUUAUCGAUGGGGAUGCGUUCCAUUAGUUUGUUGGCGGGGUAACGGCCCACCAAGACUACGAUGGAUAGGGGUUCUGAGAGGAAGGUCCCCCACAUUGGAACUGAGACACGGUCCAAACUCCUACGGGAGGCAGCAUG
RNAcentral lists this ribosomal RNA (245 nucleotides) under uncultured bacterium. Its description in RNAcentral is "partial 16S ribosomal RNA". It matches the Rfam family "Bacterial small subunit ribosomal RNA", at positions 109 to 353 of the family's 1533-position model. The record is from RNAcentral.